CUGCCCGUCACGCCAUGAAAGUUGAUCACAUUCUAAGACGGUGGGCUGACCCGCAAGGGAGGCAGCUGUUCACAGUGGGGUUAGUAAUUGGGGCG
This 95-nucleotide ribosomal RNA is filed under the name uncultured bacterium. RNAcentral describes it as "partial 16S ribosomal RNA". The record is from RNAcentral.